UACGUAGGUGACAAGCGUUGUCCGGAUUUACUGGGCGUAAAGAGCGCGCAGGCGGUCGAUCAAGUCGAGUGUGAAAGCCCCCGGCUCAACUGGGGAGGGUCAUUCGAUACUGAUCGACUCGAAGGCAGGAGAGGGUAGUGGAAUUCCCGGUGUAGUGGUGAAAUGCGUAGAUAUCGGGAGAAACACCAGUGGCGAAGGCGACUACCUGGCCUGUUCUUGACGCUGAGGCGCGAAAGCUAGGGGAGCAAACGGG
This 253-nucleotide ribosomal RNA is filed under the name uncultured bacterium. Its description in RNAcentral is "partial 16S ribosomal RNA". It matches the Rfam family "Bacterial small subunit ribosomal RNA", at positions 524 to 776 of the family's 1533-position model. The record is from RNAcentral.